RNAcentral lists this ribosomal RNA (498 nucleotides) under uncultured bacterium. RNAcentral's name for it is "partial 16S ribosomal RNA". It matches the Rfam family "Bacterial small subunit ribosomal RNA", at positions 30 to 523 of the family's 1533-position model. The record is from RNAcentral.
AUUGAACGCUGGCGGCAUGCCUUACACAUGCAAGUCGAACGGUAACAGGUCUUCGGAUGCUGACGAGUGGCGAACGGGUGAGUAAUACAUCGGAACGUGCCUAGUAGUGGGGGAUAACUACUCGAAAGAGUGGCUAAUACCGCAUGAGAUCUACGGAUGAAAGCAGGGGACCGCAAGACCUUGUGCUACUAGAGCGGCCGAUGGCAGAUUAGGUAGUUGGUGGGAUAAAAGCUUACCAAGCCGACGAUCUGUAGCUGGUCUGAGAGGACGAUCAGCCACACUGGGACUGAGAAACGGCCCAGACUCCCACGGGAGGCAGCAGUGGGGAAUUUUGAACAAUGGGCGCAAGCCUGAUCCAGCAAUGCCGCGUGCAGGAUGAAGGCCUUCGGGUUGUAAACUGCUUUUGUACGGAACGAAAAGCCCCGGGUUAAUACCCUGGGGUCAUGACGGUACCGUAAGAAUAAGCACCGGCUAACUACGUGCCAGCAGCCGCCGUAA